This 420-nucleotide ribosomal RNA is filed under the name uncultured bacterium. RNAcentral describes it as "bacterial SSU rRNA". It matches the Rfam family "Bacterial small subunit ribosomal RNA", at positions 355 to 786 of the family's 1533-position model. The record is from RNAcentral.
UGGGGAAUCUUGCGCAAUGGGCGAAAGCCUGACGCAGCGACGCCGCGUGCGGGAUGACGGCCUUCGGGUUGUAAGCCGCUUUCAGCAGGGACGAGGCCGCAAGGUGACGGUACCUGCAGAAGAAGCCCCGGCUAACUACGUGCCAGCAGCCGCGGUAAUACGUAGGGGGCGAGCGUUAUCCGGAUUCAUUGGGCGUAAAGCGCGCGUAGGCGGCCAGUUAGGUCGGGAGUCAAAUUUCGGGGCUCAACCCCGUCUCGCUCCCGAUACCGGCUGGCUUGAGUGUGGUAGGGGAAGGCGGAAUUCCCGGUGUAGCGGUGGAAUGCGCAGAUAUCGGGAAGAACACCGGUGGCGAAGGCGGCUUUCUGGGCCAUCACUGACGCUGAGGCGCGAAAGCUAGGGGAGCAAACAGGAUUAGAUACC